UUUUGGACAAUGGGGGCAACCCUGAUCCAGCGACGCCGCGUGUGUGAAGAAGGCCUGCGGGUUGUAAAGCACUUUUAGUGGGGAUGAAAAGUACAUCGCUAAUACCGGUGUAUCUUGACCUAACCCAAAGAAAAAGCACCGGCUAACUCUGUGCCAGCAGCCGCGGUAAUACAGAGGGGGCAAGCGUUGUCCGGAAUUACUGGGCGUACAGCGCGCGCAGGCGGACCGCCACGUGCCGUGUGACAAGCCACCGCUCAACGGUGGAGGGCCAGGGUACACGAGCGGUCUGGAGGCAGGGAGAGGGAUGUGGAAUGCCCGGUGGAGCGGUGAAAUGCGUAGAGAUCGGGCGGAACACCAGCGGCGAAGGCGGCAUCCUGGUCCUGUUCUGACGCUGAGGCGCGAGAGCGUGGGGAGCAAAC
This 419-nucleotide ribosomal RNA is filed under the name uncultured bacterium. Its description in RNAcentral is "bacterial SSU rRNA". It matches the Rfam family "Bacterial small subunit ribosomal RNA", at positions 362 to 773 of the family's 1533-position model. The record is from RNAcentral.